This 631-nucleotide ribosomal RNA is filed under the name Skusella sp. 1 SRM-2010. RNAcentral's name for it is "eukaryotic LSU rRNA". It matches the Rfam family "Eukaryotic large subunit ribosomal RNA", at positions 451 to 900 of the family's 3401-position model. The record is from RNAcentral. Lineage: Eukaryota; Metazoa; Arthropoda; Insecta; Diptera; Chironomidae.
UUCAAUACUACCGUCAAGCGUAGUGUGCACUUUUCUCUCAGUAAGACACCGUGAUCCAUUAGAAAUUGAUGCGUGCUUUAUGCAGCGCAUAUUGGGUCAUCGCCAUAGGCCAAUAUGAAGUUUAUUCGGAACAAAUGGUGUGGUCCUUUAACGGCCGCUCGUAUUGUCUGGUAAGCAUAUUGUGUGUCCUGUAAUGACUGUCUGAUGGAUUUUAGAGAUCAUAUUACUGUGGUGCCAUUUGUUGUACCAACACACUCUCAUCAGUGUGCACGAAUAUGUAUCCGAUCGACGGUGUAUUAAAUUUGGGAUACCUUUUGGACCCGUCUUGAAACACGGACCAAGGAGUCUAUCUAGUAUGCGAGUAAAUGGGUAUUGUUUCAAUGAAACCUAUUUGCAUAAGAAACUUGACUGUUGUACAAUAUGGGAUUACGUUAUAUGUGUUCGUGUCAUUCGAACAUAUAUUUCCUCCAUCCCGGAGUAUUUUCAUUCAACAUAUGCCGGUCAAAAAGCAUAUGGAAAGUAUAUCAUGAGCACACUGGAUACGACCCGAAAGAUGGUGAACUAUGCCUGAUCAGGUUGAAGUCAGGGGAAACUCUGAUGGAGGACCGAAACAGUUCUGACGUGCAAAUCG